This 514-nucleotide ribosomal RNA is filed under the name uncultured bacterium. RNAcentral's name for it is "bacterial SSU rRNA". It matches the Rfam family "Bacterial small subunit ribosomal RNA", at positions 97 to 633 of the family's 1533-position model. The record is from RNAcentral.
GGCGCACGGGUGAGUAAUGCAUAGGUAACGUGCCCCUUAGUCUGGGAUAGCCACUGGAAACGGUGAAUAAUACUGGAUACUCCUUCUCACUUAAUGUGAGUCGGGAAAGUUUUUCGCUAAGGGAUCGGCCUAUGUUGUAUCAGGUAGUUGGUAGGGUAAUGGCCUACCAAGCCAAUGACACAUAGCGGGUCUGAGAGGAUGAUCCGCCACACUGGUACUGAGACACGGACCAGACUCCUACGGGAGGCAGCAGUGGGGAAUAUUGCACAAUGGACGAAAGUCUGAUGCAGCAACGCCGCGUGGAGGAAGACACAUUUCGGUGCGUAAACUCCUUUUAUAUAAGAAGAUAAUGACGGUAUUAUAUGAAUAAGCACCGGCUAACUCCGUGCCAGCAGCCGCGGUAAUACGGAGGGUGCAAGCGUUAUUCGGAAUCACUGGGCGUAAAGGGUGCGUAGGCGGUUUGGAAAGUCUGAUGUGAAAGCCUAUGGCUCAACCAUAGAACUGCAUUGGAAAC